Molecule: long non-coding RNA, 1152 nt
Organism: Pocillopora damicornis (cauliflower coral)
Lineage: Eukaryota; Metazoa; Cnidaria; Anthozoa; Scleractinia; Pocilloporidae
Source: RefSeq, a predicted model, not a curated record
CAAGGAUAAAAUAUUUUUGUCUUUGAUAGAUGGAUCGAUGACGGACGACUAACAGCAAAUGGAUUCGAUAUCUGUUUAAAAAACGAUGUUGAAAGUGGACAGACCAAAGUGGAGUUACAUGGAAUAUCUACUAGCAUACCCUUUUAUGGAGUGCCAGAUUUAGUAGAAGUUCUCGAGCUUAUUUGUGAAAAGGACGGCGGCGAUUCCAAUUCUCUGUCAAAGUGCCGACCUUUUAAAGUUAUCCACUAUCUCCAGGGUGAAGCGGUUCGCGUUGCUCGUUCGCUCAGUUCCCGGAUGAACAGAAGUGAAGUGGACGAGCUACUAUCUCGGAUGGACAAAGAAAUUCCUCUGGAUUUGAGAAAAUGUGUGCAUGAUCGUCCAUUUUUUUUAACAAUCGCGCAAAUCCCGGAAUGAAACAAAUUGUUUUAAGAGAAAUCAUUCUAGUCUUUCAACAGUAAACUAUGUCUGCGCUUGUUUCUUUUGAGGAAAGCAGCCAUACAUGUAGAAACAAAAGACACAUACGAUGGUGUAGUUUAAUCGUCCGGGUGACAGUGGCCCCAAAAAGGACUUCUGUUGGUAGUGGUGACUGACGUGUCGGCAACCGUAACGGAAGUAAUCAUCACCAGAGUCGAUUGAAGAGUUGUUGUCAGUCGAGUGUGAUGCGUCCAGUUCGUGUGAACGGGAUAGUCAGUUUAGCCGUAAUGUUAUUGGCUAUAAGAUUCAAGUGGUGUAAGUCGGUCGAGAUUGGUAUAAUGAGGUCGUUCUGUUCGGUUCGCUGCUUGAAUACAUGUCGUGAAUACCGUGCAAGUAGUUUGAAUAGUGCCGGUAGUGACACCUGUCGAGGGGGAGUCUGUUCUUAGUUACUGAACCAGCUUUCCAGAGUCAUUCGUUGAAAGACGCGAGUGCUGUAGGCUGUAGGCUAAGCAUUACGCAGAGUCUCAGUUAAUAGCGGUGAAUCGACAUCAAUAUUUCUAUUCUCUCGUUUGUCUUCAGUCAGUCUUAUUGUGAGGUUCCUUCCAUUGUUCAAUGUAGGAGGGUUGAUAGUCGGAUCACUCAGGGUUAACAUCACCCGGACGAUUAGACUACACGAUAAGGUUAUUCUCCCCACCCCAGGAUCAUUCUCCUCUCUUAAUAUACAUCUCAUGAUAUACA